Molecule: RNA transcript, 1193 nt
Organism: Schistocerca nitens (vagrant locust)
Lineage: Eukaryota; Metazoa; Arthropoda; Insecta; Orthoptera; Acrididae
Exons: 4
Source: RefSeq, a predicted model, not a curated record
GCCUUUUCAAAGCAAAGGCACAAUGAGAAUCUAUCACAAACACAUCACCCUGCUCAUUAAAUAUGAUUAAUAACGCAGCAGCGAUGUAAGGUUUGAAGAAACGAGAUCACUGCGACUUGAGACAGUAGCCAAAUGACAAUUGUGAACACAGUCUGGGUCUUUUGUUAUGAAUGUAACGCAAGUAUUUGGAAGGAUGUGGGCGUGAACACUGCCAACACCGUCAUCAAUCAUUGAGCUUACGACUCCACCACUUUAUACAGUAAAAGUAAAGGAAAAAAUCAGAAAGUGUAAUACAGGUCUUGUGACCACUCCAAGGGCACAAGCAGACUGAGGUUCAGUACAUCACACACAUUGGCAAGUAGCCAGCCCUAUGAAGAACUUGUGGCAUCACAGGAAGUGGAUCUGGAGCUAAAGAAAUUAUUGAUGGGCCACACAACAGAGAUGCAGUUACAGCAAAUAUCAAUGCCAGGAAGAAGAGUUAUCUUAUGGUGCAUUAUGUCACGGCAGAAGCCCCACCAUACAUUACACAAUAAUUACCCCAAACGCAGCAUCUGACAGCAUUCUUGGCCUUGCUCACCCAGGGGCAAAUGCCACAAUUAAGUUACUGAUAGCACAUUUUGUGUGGCCAUCAAUUAAAAAGGAUGCCAGGGGACUGACUCAUGCAUGCCUACAAUGUUAAAACUACAAAGUACGACAACAUGUCCAUGUAGAAUCACAAGCAAGAUUUAGCAUUGUGCAACUGGUCUUAGUGCAAUGCUUCCCAAUCUGGGGGUAAUUACCCCGAGCAGUAAAAUGUUAUUUUCUGUGGGGUAAAAACUAAACGAUUUGAUUCUCUUUCAGUCGCGGAAAUAAAUUAUUUUCAAAAUAUCACUACUAUUAUCACAAUGUUGUAAGACUCUAAUAUUGAUUAUAUAAGUUAUCAAUAAUUACUGUUUCUCAAUUAGCAGCAUUAAUGGUGUUGAGGUUACAGGUUCCUCACACAAUCCACCCACUAUAGAUACAUGCUGUGUUUUGUCCUGUACAGUGCUGAUAAUAAAAGUAAGACAUAUACAUAACAAAUGCUCAAUAUCUCAACAAAAUGUCUUCGCCAAGAUGUAGAUAGUAUCUGCAGUAGUCCAGAAAUUGCUUCAUUACUUGCUUUGAAAGAGAUAAAUGAAUUAAUUGACAGCACGGUACAGCAGUAACUACAUAAG